UGGGGAAUUUUGGACAAUGGGCGAAAGCCUGAUCCAGCAAUGCCGCGUGUGUGAAGAAGGCCUUCGGGUUGUAAAGCACUUUUGUCCGGAAAGAAAUCCUUGGCUCUAAUACAGUCGGGGGAUGACGGUACCGGAAGAAUAAGCACCGGCUAACUACGUGCCAGCAGCCGCGGUAAUACGUAGGGUGCAAGCGUUAAUCGGAAUUACUGGGCGUAAAGCGUGCGCAGGCGGUUUGCUAAGACCGAUGUGAAAUCCCCGGGCUCAACCUGGGAACUGCAUUGGUGACUGGCAGGCUAGAGUAUGGCAGAGGGGGGUAGAAUUCCACGUGUAGCAGUGAAAUGCGUAGAGAUGUGGAGGAAUACCGAUGGCGAAGGCAGCCCCCUGGGCCAAUACUGACGCUCAUGCACGAAAGCGUGGGGAGCAAACAGGAUUAGAUACCCUGGUAGUCCACGCCCUAAACGAUGUCAACUAGUUGUCGGGUCUUCAUUGACUUGGUAACGUAGCUAACGCGUGAAGUUGACCGCCUGGGGAGUACGGUCGCAAGAUUAAAAGGGCUCAAAUGAAUUGACGGGGUCAUAGCUGUUUCCU
Molecule: ribosomal RNA, 588 nt
Filed under: uncultured bacterium
Lineage: Bacteria
Description: partial 16S ribosomal RNA
Rfam family: Bacterial small subunit ribosomal RNA
Source: RNAcentral